RNAcentral lists this ribosomal RNA (486 nucleotides) under uncultured bacterium. Its description in RNAcentral is "partial 16S ribosomal RNA". It matches the Rfam family "Bacterial small subunit ribosomal RNA", at positions 28 to 507 of the family's 1533-position model. The record is from RNAcentral.
GAUGAACGCUGGCGGCGUGCCUAAUACAUGCAAGUCGAACGCUGGAAAUCUAGCUUGCUCGCUUGAAGGAGUGGCGAACGGGUGAGUAAUACAUAAGCAACCUACCCACGAAGACUGGGAUAAUCUCUGGAAACGGGGACUAAUACCGGAUAGGUAAUCGGAAGGCUUCUUCUGAUUAUUAAAGGUUAAAAACACUGGUGGAUGGGCUUAUGGCGCAUUAGUUAGUUGGUGAGGUAACGGCCCACCAAGACGAUGAUGCGUAGCCGGCCUGAGAGGGUGAACGGCCACAUUGGGACUGGGACACGGCCCAGACUCCUACGGGAGGCAGCAGUAGGGAAUGUUCGGCAAGGGGGGAAACCCUGACCGAGCGACGCCGCGUGAGUGAUGACGGCCUUCGGGUUGUAAAGCUCUGUUGUAAGGGAAGAACGGUAGAUAGAGAAUAUCUAAAUGACGGUACCUUACCAGAAAGCCACGGCUAACUACGUG